AUAUAAUGGAACAGUGUUGGUCUUUUGAAAUUUUCUCAUCUCCAUUAGAUUUAAAAGACGAUAUCUGGUGUAUGCAAACAAAUAUUUUAUUCAUUUCUAUAAGACAAAUAAGAUUAUUAUAUUGUUGAAACACUAUAUUAAAUUACCGUGUCUUGUGUUAUACAACUAAUAUUUCCUUGUAAAAUAUAUAUAUUUUAUCUUAUAUCAAAUAUGAAUAAUACAAGUACUUAACUUUAAUAUGGCAUGGCCUUAAUUUUAUGCAAUAACAAAAUAAGGACAAAGGAUAAAAUAACAAAGGGCUACAAAUGUAUGACUUUGAGUAACUGGUUUUAGUUUAGAAAAUUCAAAAAAAAUUAUAAAAGAUUCAACAUGUAGGUGUUUUUUGUCAGGUCCAAAAAUGUAUAUCCUUGCAAUAACUAAAUUAGCGAAGGAAUGGUUGUACAUCGCGAAUAUAGUACUUCAUGGAAUAAAAUUGAGAAUGGAAAUUGUAUGAUGUGCCAAAGAGACAACAACCCGACCAUAGAAAAAAAAACAACAGCAGAAGGUCACCAACAGGUCUUCAAUGUAGCGAGAAAUUCCCGCACCCGGAGGCGUCCUUCAACUGGCCCCUCAACAAAUAUAUACUAGUUCAGUGAUAAUGAACGCCAUACUAAUUUCCAAAUUGUACACAAGAAACUAAAAUUAAAAUAAUACAAGACUAACAAAGGCCAGAGGCUCCUGACUUGGGACAGGCGUAAAAAUACGGUGGGGUUAAACAUGUUUGUGAGAUCUCAACCCUCCCCCUAUACCACCAUGUUUCGAAUAUUUAGACACUUUGUUUGUGUCAAAACAACUACAUGUAAUAACAAUUUUUCAAAAUAAGAAAUGAAAUAUUUUUUCACUGCAAGAUAAGAUAUUUGAAAUCUUACAAAAAUACUACACAUAUAUAAAAAUUAUACAAAAUGUACUCACCCAACAACACAUAUGAAAUAUCAAUAUAUACAGUUUUGCGAUUAUCUUUUCACAUUAAAAAAAAUACAAGACAAAACCGUUUAUGGAUCCAAAACAGUCCAAUGUGGUACAAUACAAAAAGUGUAGGAAGUAAAACAUUGAUAAUAUAGGAAACCACUGAAUGUUUAGUUAAGUAACCAACAGUACAAUUAAGUUUUGUUUAUCAUGUAAAUGUAUAACGAAUUUGCAUUGGUAUUUUGAAACUGUUUAAGUGAAAAACAAACAGUUAUAUAUUUUUUUUAUAAAAACAAUGCGUACAUAAAGAACACUUUAAUUGCAAUUUAAUUUUAUGCUGAAUUUUUAUCAAUUUUUUAAUCGAAAUUCAGUUGUAAGCUUCUAACCCUGGGUCAAUACAACUGUUUUAAUGUUUCUAUAUUAUAAUGAUGCUUAACGAACGUAUCAAAUGUAUUACUUGUGGUUGAAUAUGUUUUAAAAAAGAGACCUCUAUUCUCUGUCAGAAAAGUACUAACCUUUGUUUAGUACUGAUGAGACGAAAUUUUAUCAUUGCAAUUUG
This 1504-nucleotide long non-coding RNA is filed under the name Mytilus galloprovincialis (Mediterranean mussel). Lineage: Eukaryota; Metazoa; Mollusca; Bivalvia; Mytilida; Mytilidae. The record is from RNAcentral.